UACAGAGGGUGCAAACGUUAUCCGGAAUCAUUGGGUUUAAAGGGUCCGUAGGCGGUUUUGUAAGUCAGUGGUGAAAGCCCAUCGCUCAACGGUGGAACGGCCAUUGAUACUGCAAGACUUGAAUUAUUAGGAAGUAACUAGAAUAUGUAGUGUAGCGGUGAAAUGCUUAGAGAUUACAUGGAAUACCAAUUGCGAAGGCAGGUUACUACUAAUGGAUUGACGCUGAUGGACGAAAGCGUGGGGAGCGAACAGG
RNAcentral lists this ribosomal RNA (253 nucleotides) under uncultured bacterium. RNAcentral describes it as "partial 16S ribosomal RNA". It matches the Rfam family "Bacterial small subunit ribosomal RNA", at positions 524 to 776 of the family's 1533-position model. The record is from RNAcentral.